UUUGGGGUAUAUAAACUAAUAACGUUCAGAUUCAUUGUUUAACAUGAGAGCAGGUGAGCCAGUCUUCGUGUUUGUCUAGUGAGGCGCUGCGCGCAUUUCCCGCGGAAAGAACGAAGCGGAGUGUUGGAGAACGGUGGAGAACUGCGAAGUGAUCUGUGCUAGGGAUUACGCUUGCCAACACCGCAGACAAGCCAGGGGCGCCGAUAUGGGUUCCAGGCUAUGUGAUGGACGACCGGCGCACCUCAUCCUCCUCCUGCUCCUCGUCCUCCAGGCCAUGCUGCCGCUCUGCUCUGGUGAACGCACCUGCCCUCACAGCUGCCGUUGUGAGGGGAAGAUAGUCCACUGCGAGUCAGCUGGCUUCUUGGACGUCCCUGAGAACAUCUCAGUGGGCUGCCAGGGCCUCUCUCUUCGCUACAACGACCUGCACACGCUGCUCCCCUACCAGUUUGCCCAUCUCAACCAGCUCCUCUGGCUCUACAUGGACCACAACCAGAUCUCUUCUCUAGACAGUCGGGUCUUCCAGGGGGUUCGCAGGCUUAAAGAGCUGAUCCUCAGCUCCAACAAGAUCUCUCAGCUCCACAACGCCACCUUCCACGGGGUGCCCAACCUCCGCAGCCUGGACCUGUCCUACAACAAGCUGCAGAUGCUGCAGCCGGGGCAGUUCCACGGCCUGAAGAAGCUGCAGAACCUCCACUUGCGCUCCAACGGCCUCACCAUAGUCCCCAUCCGGGCCUUCCUGGAAUGCCGCAGCCUGGAGUUUCUGGACCUGGGCUACAACCGACUCCGGGCCCUCACCAGAACCACCUUCCUGGGGUUACAGAGGCUCAUGGAGCUGCACCUGGAGCACAACCAGUUCUCCCGGAUCAACUUCUUUCUGUUUCCACGUCUUGCUAACUUGCGGGCGCUCUACCUGCAGUGGAACCGCAUCCGAGCAGUCAACCAGGGCCUUCCCUGGACUUGGCACACACUGCAGAAACUGGAUCUGUCUGGCAAUGAGAUCCAGACCCUGGACCCUGCCGUGUUCCACUGCCUGCCUAACCUCCAGACCCUCAACCUGGAGUCCAACAAGCUGUCCAACGUGUCCCAGGAGGCAGUGUCUGCAUGGAUCUCCCUGAACUCUAUCAACCUUGCAGGUAACGUGUGGGACUGUGGGACAGGCAUCUGCCCCCUGGUGGCCUGGCUGAGGAACUUUCGUGGCACUAAAGACACAACCAUGAUAUGCAGCAGCCCAAAGCAGCUCCAGGGAGAGAAGAUCAUGGAGGCUACGAGGAACAAUGGAAUUUGUGAGGAAACUGAUUACUUUCAGACAGAAACCCCUUCACCAACCCCGGAUUUCAUUGAAACGACACCUGACCCAACCCCUGCCCCCACCAGCCCACUUCCACCCCUGCUUCCACCUACCACCCUGGCCCCCCUACCCCCACCUCGGCCUCAGGCCCCCCCCCGUCCUACUUUUUCCAGCCGGGUAAGGAUUGACCCCAGAGACUCCCCUCCCCGGGCUCCGCCCUCCCUCCGCAGCCUGGUGGUGACUCAGCCCCCAGAGCUGGAGCACAUGUCCUUCCACAAGGUGGUGGUGGGCAGCGUGGCACUCUUCUUCACCAUGUCACUUGUCCUGACCGUCAUCUACGUGUUAUGGAGGCGCUACCCGAAUGCGGCACGACUCCUGCAGCAGCGCUCCGUGGUGGGCCGCAAGCGGCGGAAAAAGAGCCCAGAGCCUGAGCAGAACCUGAGCUCCCAGCUGCAGGAGUAUUACAUGAGCUACAAUCCAGCCGCCACCCCGGAUGGCUUGGAGGUGCUGGGCAACGGGACCGGCUCCUGCACCUGCACCAUCUCCGGCUCCAGGGAAUGCGAGGUAUGACCCAUCGCAUCAGCCUUUAAAAACAAAACUCAAAAAGCAAAAACACAAAGGCUCAAGAGAGAGAGAGUGAAUACACAUGUCCCCGUCCACUACCUGGAGCUUGGCUUGGAGACGUACCCACCAUUCACUAGGAGACAUGUACGUUUU
Molecule: RNA transcript, 2005 nt
Organism: Oncorhynchus masou masou (cherry salmon)
Lineage: Eukaryota; Metazoa; Chordata; Actinopteri; Salmoniformes; Salmonidae
Gene name: leucine-rich repeat transmembrane neuronal protein 4-like
Exons: 3
Source: RefSeq, a predicted model, not a curated record